AGAGGCCCUCCGUGGCUGGGUUGGAACGCUUGCCUCGUUGCCAUGGCGAUGAAGCAAGCAUUCUGCCAGGCCGCUCACACUGCCCAC
Molecule: non-coding RNA, 87 nt
Organism: Myotis brandtii (Brandt's bat)
Lineage: Eukaryota; Metazoa; Chordata; Mammalia; Chiroptera; Vespertilionidae
Source: Rfam